This 447-nucleotide ribosomal RNA is filed under the name uncultured bacterium. Its description in RNAcentral is "partial 16S ribosomal RNA". It matches the Rfam family "Bacterial small subunit ribosomal RNA", at positions 330 to 792 of the family's 1533-position model. The record is from RNAcentral.
GCCAGACUCCUACGGGAGGCAGCAGUGGGGGAUAUUGCACAAUGGGGGAAACCCUGAUGCAGCGACGCCGCGUGGGCGAAGAAGUAUUUCGGUAUGUAAAGCCCUAUCAGCAGGGAAGAAGAAAUGACGGUACCUGAGUAAGAAGCACCGGCUAAAUACGUGCCAGCAGCCGCGGUAAUACGUAUGGUGCAAGCGUUAUCCGGAUUUACUGGGUGUAAAGGGGGCGCAGACGGCAGCGCAAGCCAGGAGUGAAAGCCCGGGGCCCAACCCCGGGACUGCUCUUGGAACUGCGCGGCUGGAGUGCAGGAGGGGCAGGCGGAAUUCCUGGUGUAGCGGUGAAAUGCGUAGAUAUCAGGAGGAACACCGGUGGCGAAGGCGGCCUGCUGGACUGCAACUGACGUUGAGGCCCGAAAGCGUGGGGAGCAAACAGGAUUAGAUACCCCUGUA